UCCAAGAAACUUUUACAACAUAUGUAA
Molecule: non-coding RNA, 27 nt
Filed under: Mus musculus (house mouse)
Lineage: Eukaryota; Metazoa; Chordata; Mammalia; Rodentia; Muridae
Source: RNAcentral